Molecule: ribosomal RNA, 710 nt
Filed under: uncultured Nitrospira sp.
Lineage: Bacteria; Pseudomonadati; Nitrospirota; Nitrospiria; Nitrospirales; Nitrospiraceae
Description: bacterial SSU rRNA
Rfam family: Bacterial small subunit ribosomal RNA
Source: RNAcentral
AGAGUUUGAUCCUGGCUCAGAACGAACGCUGGCGGCGCGCCUAAUACAUGCAAGUCGAGCGAGAAGGUGUAGCAAUACACUUGUAAAGCGGCGAACGGGUGAGGACCACAUGGGUAACCUACCCUCGAGUGGGGAAUAACUAGCCGAAAGGUUAGCUAAUACCGCGUACGCCUCCCGGACUGCGGUUCGGGAGGGAAAGCGAUACCGUGGGUAUCGCGCUCUUGGAUGGGCUCAUGCCCUAUCAGCUUGUUGGUGAGGUAACGGCUCACCAAGGCAUCGACGGGUAGCUGAUCUGAGAGGAUGAUCAGCCACACUGGCACUGCGACACGGGCCAGACUCCUACGGGAAGCAGCAGUAAGGAAUAUUGCGCAAUGGGCGAAAGCCUGACGCAGCGACGCCGCGUGGGGGAUGAAGGUCUUCGGAUUGUAAACCCCUUUCGGGAGGGAAGAUGGGAUAGGGUAACCUAUUCGGACGGUACCUCCAGAAGCAGCCACGGCUAACUUCGUGCCAGCAGCCGCGGUAAUACGAAGGUGGCAAGCGUUGUUCGGAUUUACUGGGCGUACAGGGAGCGUAGGCGGUUCGGUAAGCCCUCCGUGAAAUCCCCAGGCUUAACCUGGAAAGUGCAGAGGGGACUGCUGGGCUAGAGGAUGGGAGAGGAGCGCGGAAUUCCCGGUGUAGCGGUGAAAUGCGUAGAGAUCGGGAGGAAGGCC